GUGUAAUUUUUGAGGCAGUAAAGGACUCUUCUGUUUGAAAUUUAUAUACCAAAGGAUUAUCCCCAAAUUGUUAAAUUGCCAAGUUCAGAGAUAUGGAGUUAGAGAAAGAGCAGGGACACCUCAUUCUUAAUUAAUACAUCUCUGAAUAGUUGGAGCUUGCAUUCUUUCAAUAAUUUAAUAACAUUAAAAUAUUAAAGAAAAAUCCAAGACAUUAAGUUAUUUAAAAAGAGAAGGGGGGGCUUCCCUGGUGGCGCAGUGGUUGAGAAUCUGCCUGCCAAUGCAGGGGACAUGGGUUCAAACCCUGGUCUGGGGAGAUCCCACAUGCCGUGGAGCAGCUGGGCCCGUGAGCCACAAUUACUGAGCCUGCGCGUACAGUUACUGAGCUUGCGCGUCUGGAGCCUGUGCUCCGCAACAAGAGAGGCCGCGAUAGUGAGAGGCCUGCACACCACGAUGAAGAGUGGCCCCCGCUUGCCACAACUAGAGAAGGCCCUGGCACAGAAAUGAAGACCCAACACAGCCAUAAAUAAAUAAAUUUUAAAAUUCACGACAUAUGUCAAUAUUUUUUUAAAAAAGAGAGAGGGGAAGAAUAUGUGCAAACUCUUUGGCCUGGCAGUAUUACUUCUAAAAAUUUAUCUUAGGAAAAUUAUCACGUCGACAAAGAUUAACUGCAUGAGUGUUCACUGCAGCAUUGCUGACCAUACUAAAAAUCUGGGAGCACUUGAAGCAUUCGAUAUGCGGGACUAGUUAAUUAAGCCAUAGUAUAUUCAUGCAGUGAAUUAUAUCGCCAUUAAAAACAGUGUCUUGGGGCUUCCCUGGUGGCGCAGUGGUUGAGAAUCUGCCUGCUAAUGCAGGGGACACAGGUUCGAGCCCUGGUCUGGGAGGAUCCCAUACGCCGCGGAGCAACUAGGCCCGUGAGCCACAACUACUGAGCCUGCGCAUCUGGAGCCUGUGCUCCGCAACAAGAGAGGCCGUGACAGUGAGAGGCCCGCGCACCGCGAUGAAGAGUGGCCCCCACUUGCUACAACUAGAGAAAGCCCUCGCACAGAAACGAAGACCCAACACAGCAAAAAUAAAUAAAUAAAUUACUAAAACUCCUACCCCCAGCAUCUUCUUU
This 1114-nucleotide long non-coding RNA is filed under the name Phocoena sinus (vaquita). RNAcentral's name for it is "lncRNA (ENSPSNG00000017357.1)". The record is from RNAcentral. Lineage: Eukaryota; Metazoa; Chordata; Mammalia; Artiodactyla; Phocoenidae.